RNAcentral lists this ribosomal RNA (253 nucleotides) under uncultured bacterium. RNAcentral describes it as "partial 16S ribosomal RNA". It matches the Rfam family "Bacterial small subunit ribosomal RNA", at positions 524 to 776 of the family's 1533-position model. The record is from RNAcentral.
UACGAGGGGGGCAAAUGUUGUUCGGAAUCACUGGGCGUAAAGGGAGCGUAGGCGGGCUUCUAAGUUAGGUGUUUAAUCCCGGGGCCCAACCCCGGUCAGGCACCUAAAACUGGGAGUCUUGAAUAGUGGAGAGGUCAGUGGAAUUGGGGGUGUAGCGGUGGAAUGCGUAGAGAUCCCCAAGAACACCAGUUGCGAAGGCGGCUGACUGGACACAUAUUGACGCUGAGGCUCGAAAGCAUGGGGAGCAAACAGG